AACGAACGCUGGCGGCAGGCCUAACACAUGCAAGUCGAGCGGACCCUUCGGGGUUAGCGGCGGACGGGUGAGUAACGCGUGGGAACGUGCCCUUUGCUUCGGAAUAGCCCUGGGAAACUGGGAGUAAUACCGGAUACGCCCUUUUGGGGAAAGAUUUAUCGGCGAAGGAUCGGCCCGCGUUGGAUUAGGUAGUUGGUGGGGUAAUGGCCUACCAAGCCGACGAUCCAUAGCUGGUUUGAGAGGAUGAUCAGCCACACUGGGACUGAGACACGGCCCAGACUCCUACGGGAGGCAGCAGUGGGGAAUCUUAGACAAUGGGGGAAACCCUGAUCUAGCCAUGCCGCGUGAGCGAUGAAGGCCUUAGGGUUGUAAAGCUCUUUCACCGGGGAAGAUAAUGACGGUACGCGGAGAAGAAGCCCCGGCUAACUCCGUG
Molecule: ribosomal RNA, 433 nt
Filed under: uncultured bacterium
Lineage: Bacteria
Description: partial 16S ribosomal RNA
Rfam family: Bacterial small subunit ribosomal RNA
Source: RNAcentral